RNAcentral lists this ribosomal RNA (250 nucleotides) under uncultured prokaryote. RNAcentral describes it as "partial 16S ribosomal RNA". It matches the Rfam family "Bacterial small subunit ribosomal RNA", at positions 524 to 773 of the family's 1533-position model. The record is from RNAcentral.
UACAUAGGGGGCAAGCGUUGUCCGGAAUCACUGGGCGUAAAGGGAGCGUAGGUGGAAAUUUAAGUUAAGUGUGAAAGCCUUGAGCUUAACUCAAGAACUGCACUUAAUACUGGGUUUCUAGAGUGUUGGAGAGGUAAGUGGAAUUCCUAGUGUAGCGGUAGAAUGCGUAGAAAUUAGGAGGAACACCAGAGGCGAAGGCGACUUACUGGACAAUUACUGACGCUGAGGCUCGAAAGUGUGGGGAGCAAAC